This 465-nucleotide ribosomal RNA is filed under the name uncultured bacterium. Its description in RNAcentral is "partial 16S ribosomal RNA". It matches the Rfam family "Bacterial small subunit ribosomal RNA", at positions 29 to 507 of the family's 1533-position model. The record is from RNAcentral.
ACGCACGCUGGCGGCGCGCCUAACACCUGCCAGUCGAACGAGCGAGAGAGAGCUUGCUUUCUCGAGCGAGUGGCGAACGGGUGAGUAACGCGUGAGGAACCUGCCUCAAAGAGGGGGACAACAGUUGGAAACGACUGCUAAUACCGCAUAAGCCCACGGCUCGGCAUCGAGCAGGGGGAAAAGGAGCAAUCCGCUUUGAGAUGGCCUCGCGUCCGAUUAGCUAGUUGGUGGGGUAACGGCCCACCAAGGCGACGAUCGGUAGCCGGACUGAGAGGUUGAACGGCCACAUUGGGACUGAGACACGGCCCAGACUCCUACGGGAGGCAGCAGUGGGGAAUAUUGCACAAUGGGGGAAACCCUGAUGCAGCGACGCCGCGUGGAGGAAGAAGGUCUUCGGAUUGUAAACUCCUGUUGUUGGGGAAGAUAAUGACGGUACCCAACAAGGAAGAGACGGCUAACUACGUG